Molecule: ribosomal RNA, 497 nt
Filed under: uncultured bacterium
Lineage: Bacteria
Description: partial 16S ribosomal RNA
Rfam family: Bacterial small subunit ribosomal RNA
Source: RNAcentral
GAUGAACGCUGGCGGCGUGCCUAAUACAUGCAAGUCGAGCGAACAGACGAGGAGCUUGCUCCUCUGACGUUAGCGGCGGACGGGUGAGUAACACGUGGAUAACCUACCUAUAAGACUUGGAUAACUUCGGGAAACCGGAGCUAAUACCGGAUAAUAUAUUGAACCGGAUGGUUCAAUAGUGAAAGACGGUUUUGCUGUCACUUAUAGAUGUAUCCGCGCCGCAUUAGCUAGUUGGUAAGGUAACGGCUUACCAAGGCAACGAUGCGUAGCCGACCUGAGAGGGUGAUCGGCCACACUGGAACUGAGCCACGGUCCAGACUCCUACGGGAGGCAGCAGUAGGGAAUCUUCCGCACUGGGCGAAAGCCUGACGGAGCAACGGAGCGUGAGUGAUGAAGGUCUUCGGAUCGUAUAACUCUGUUAUUAGGGAAGAACAAAUGUGUAAGUAACUAUGCACGUCUUGACGGUACCUAAUCAGAAAGCCACGGCUAACUACGUG